RNAcentral lists this ribosomal RNA (586 nucleotides) under uncultured bacterium. RNAcentral's name for it is "partial 16S ribosomal RNA". It matches the Rfam family "Bacterial small subunit ribosomal RNA", at positions 355 to 1375 of the family's 1533-position model. The record is from RNAcentral.
UGGGGAAUUUUGGACAAUGGGCGAAAGCCCGAUCCAGCAAUGCCGCGUGUGUGAAGAAGGCCUUCGGGUUGUAAAGCACUUUUGUCCGGAAAGAAAUCCUUGGCUCUAAUACAGUCGGGGGAUGACGGUACCGGAAGAAUAAGCACCGGCUAACUACGUGCCAGCAGCCGCGGUAAUACGUAGGGUGCAAGCGUUAAUCGGAAUUACUGGGCGUAAAGCGUGCGCAGGCGGUUUGCUAAGACCGAUGUGAAAUCCCCGGGCUCAACCUGGGAACUGCAUUGGUGACUGGCAGGCUAGAGUAUGGCAGAGGGGGGUAGAAUUCCACGUGUAGCAGUGAAAUGCGUAGAGAUGUGGAGGAAUACCGAUGGCGAAGGCAGCCCCCUGGGCCAAUACUGACGCUCAUGCACGAAAGCGUGGGGAGCAAACAGGAUUAGAUACCCUGGUAGUCCACGCCCUAAAACGAUGUCAACUAGUUGUUGGGGAUUCAUUUCCUUAGUAACGUAGCUAACGCGUGAAGUUGACCGCCUGGGGAGUACGGUCGCAAGAUUAAAACUCAAAGGAAUUGACGGGGUCAUAGCUGUUUCCU